Molecule: long non-coding RNA, 396 nt
Organism: Octopus sinensis (East Asian common octopus)
Lineage: Eukaryota; Metazoa; Mollusca; Cephalopoda; Octopoda; Octopodidae
Exons: 3
Source: RefSeq, a predicted model, not a curated record
CGUGCCUGGAACAACCUUCCCCUGCCGAUUUACGGAGAUGGUCAAAACGUGUUGGCGACAAUUCACGUUUUGGAUCUUUCCAAUGUGGUUCUUAAUGUAAUUGAUAAACCCCCCAAACAAAAAUAUAUUGUCGCAGUCGAUGAAUCUCUUACAACUCUGGAGACCACAGUGAAGACAAUUGCAAAAAAAUUUGGAAAGUACAAGCCGGAGUAUGUCUCCAAAGAGGACGCUCUGCUUGACGAGGAAAUGGAGCAAUGGAAUUAUGACUUGUUACUCAUGGACUUGAGGGUUGAUGCUUUUUCGAUUAGAGAAAUGAUGAAUUUCUCAUGGAAAGCAACUUCUGGGUUGGUUGAACACAUUGACUUGGUGACCAACGAGUAUCGAAACACUCACUGU